GGGGGGGGUGCUAGCAUCACAGACUGCUUUGGAAUGUUUUGAUGUAUUAGGUGACACUUGAGAUACAGUUUCUAUUUUUCAACAUUAGAUGACAGUACUGCACUGAGAAUGUUAUUUUCCCUAAACAAUUUAAUAGCAUUCUUACUCUAAUGUAGAUUAUAAAAAUAAAGGGCUAUUUUGGUAAAUAGUUGGUUAUUGUACAUUAUUUUUAGAUUAGGGCUCUUUACUCUUGAGAAAAAAAAAUCUGAACAUAAGAACACAAAAAUCACUACUAUGGGAUAGUCUAAACAUCAUGGUUUUCUCAUAAGAAUUCAUUUCAUGAGGAAGUAGGGAUCUACAUAAUGGCAAGAGCCAGCGAUGCUACUCUUCUUUGACAGUCACCAUCACGCACAAACUUAGCAUUGGCAACUUUCAACAACAAACACAUAAGUACAAAUGAGACAUGGCCCCAGCCUUUCAAGCUCUCAUCACUUCUAGUGGAUUAGUAGGUACAGAAUGUGUCAUAAGUGAUUAUAAGCAUUUGCUUUGAUUAAUACUGAGAGGGAAAGAGAGAGAAACAGAUUGACUUUCACUUGAAAGAAAAUCAAAAUUAAAAAAAAAAAGUCUGCCCACCUACCGAGACAACCUGAUGUGUUUUGAUAACAUCUUCAGUAUCUACACCAGUUAAAACACCACAGUGUCCCUAUUUUAAUGUCUUUCCUGCUGAGGUACUUUAAGAAGUCAGUGGUUUAUUUGCAGAUACUACUACCAAGUACCAUCAAGUAAACCAGUAUCAGUUGCAUGUAUCUUCCUUACCUGUCUCAGAUCAUUUACAUUUAGACUCCAGCUACCUCAUUCUAGGUGUUUAUGCUAUGAAACUAUGCAAUGUAAAAGUUGGGUGGAUGCAAUAAAACAACCCACUUUUGCACAUAAACCAAAAUACUUUCAAAGACUUGCUGUCCAGGUGGGAUUUCUGGUUAACAAAAUAUCUCAUACUGCAGCCCAGGGAGCAAACACAGCAGCCGCCCUUUUCAUACACACAGUGACGAUUUCAACCAUUUCUAAUUGUUAAUAUUUUGAACUUUAAAAUCUAUCUCUUAGGGAUUUGUGCUAUAUAUAGAAAUAAUCAUUACCCUUCGGGAAACAAUGGCUCAUUUACUGAAAAUGAGUUUAACAAAGGAAUUAUUUGGUACUGAAAAAUACAGAGCAGUGAAUUGGGUGACACAAAUCACAACAUCAUCAGCUCAUGUGACUGUAUUAGGGUAAUUUCCUUAAAAAAAUAAAAAACUACAGUAACGUAAAAUUUAGCUCCAGCAAUCUAAUAUCCUCAAUCAUGUCCUCUGUCAUAAAAUUGUGAAACCAGAUCUUAGGUUCUUAAUUUGAGAAUGUCCCUUAAUUCUCAAUUUGAGAUAAAUACCACAAAAAAGAAAAACUCUGCCGAAUGGAAUAUUUCUAUUCUGCCUGAAGCCUAGUUUUGACUGGUAUGUUUCAGUUGCACAUUUGAUUCACACUGAAUUUUGUUUUAAGUAUUAAGAGAAUAAAUAGCAUUCCAAAAAGUCACAAGCUUGAAAACUUCCAGUUCCUUCUCUAGUUGGAGAUCUUACAAAACUUAUUACAUGGAACAGUGAGUUGAUGCAGUGACCAUAAAUUUCUUAACACUGUAAGUCUAAAUUUAAUCAAAACCCAAUCUCAGAAAGUUCUGUAAAAACAGCCUUGAAGUAGAUAAAGCAAAAAGUCACAAAAUGUUAAUCUAGAAGAAAGGUUUAUGGGAGUACCACUGUACAAUUCUUUUAAGUUUUCUGAGGUUUAAAAUUUUUCAAAAAAUAAAAGGGGGAGAGGCAUGAUAGCCUCGAAGCAGAUACAGAACAUGAUUACAUACAUGAAAAGAGUGAGCUAUUUUCAAAAGCCCUGUAGCUCGUAACAUUAAACUUUUACCAGAAACCUUAGUCACUAGCACACAAAAACUGCCCAACAGAGUAUUCUAAAUAUUGUUGUUUUUUCUUUCAGAAGCAUUGUUCCUGGUUUCAUUUAUAAGAAUUUUGUUUUUUAUUCUGUUUUUUUUUUUUUGCUUUUAGAAGAACACUUCCUCCACUUUCAAUGGGCAUUAACUUGGACGGGUAUUACUGGUAAAACAGCAAAGGAGCAAAGGUUCUGGCUCAGCCUCCUACCAGUUGUAUGACCUUGAACAAAUCUCUUAGCUUCUCUGCGUCUCAAUUUUCCCACGUAAAAUGAGGCAGUUACACUAGAUGCAUUCUAAAGAAUCCCCCAACUCUGUAAUUCCUUUCAGGUAGAGCUCUAGGCUUGCGAGAAAGAAAAAACUAGCCCUCAAAGAGGAAAAAAAUGGCCAAAAUCUACCUUUGUAAUGUUGGUGAAACAAAUAGGAUACCAAGCUGUAAGCACACAAUGUAAUAAUCAUGAUCCCAAACUUUAAAACUUUAACACUAUUAUAAAUGCACACAUUUCAGAUUUUAAAAAUUGAAAAAAAAUUAUACCAAAAUACUAUUAGUGGCUAUCUCUGAGUUACAGGUUAAAUGUAGCUUUUCUGUGUUCUCCAAGUUUCUUACAACAAACAUAUUAUUACUUUGAUAACAGAGUGAAAGGAGGGAGUUAUAAGCAAGGAAAAACCCCCCUCUUAUGUGCUAAAGGAAAUUUUACCUUUGGAAGGCAUUCUAGAAUUUGAAAGAAUUUUCUGAGAACAGUUGGGUGUUAAUCAGAAAAAAAUUCUCUGGUAUAGUCAUUAACUUGAUACCUGUCAAAAUCAUUCAAAAGCUGUUGGUUACCUGCCCUAGGUUAGUAAACUUAAGGAGGUACUGCAUUUUUUCAUGAGUACUGAAACUGGUAAUAAUAAUGACAGCUAAUGUAUAUCUAAGUGCCAAGCACAGUUUUAAGACUACAUAUACACUGAUUCACUGAAUCCUCACAACAACCCUAUGCAAUAGAUAUACCAUUAUUUACUAUUUCCAUUUUACACAGGACAACCAGAGGUUAAAUAGUUUGCCCACAACUAAUAUUCCAGGCAGUCAUCAGAGUACAGGCUUUUAACUAUUUAACCAUCCUGUCCUUUUGUACUUCUGCUCAGGUCAUUCUUUAACUGCCUUUUGCUCUCAAAGUUCAUCUAAACUACUUUUCUUUAACCUGCAAAGAAAUAAUAUUUAAGUACUGGGAUAAAAAGACUGGCCAACCUUUUAACUUGGUAGGUGAAAAUUAUGAUUCAUUUUUAAGUCAUUACUUCAAAGGUACAGGAAGUAUAAUUUAAUCUCAACACAUAUCACAAGGUAAACAACACGGUAACAUCUGAGGGAUUAAAUAUGUAGCAUUAAUUACUAAGUUAAAAUUGGAAUAUCUUAAUAAAAGAAGACACAAAUGAUUGACGUUAAUUUGUCCUCAUGAAUCGUCUGUGAAAAGAGCCCCUAAAACCAAAUGUUGGACCUUUCUAAAAUUUCAAUCAUACUGAAAUGCCAUUUUAAACCAUGUUGUAAUUAACAUGGUUUGGUUUUUAAAAGAAUGCAUCAAUAUUUAUUUUGAACACUGGCCUUAGUACACACCCAGUUAUCUUCACAAUAACCUCAAAUACUAUUAACAUGCAGAACCUGGGACAAGGAACACAAAGGAAGCUACCAAUUAAAUACAGCUGAAGGUUCUCACCUAAUUCUUGGGCAAUUUAAAUCCAAACCAAGUAUCCUUUUUUGGGCCUGUACCAUUACCUGUCAAUUUUUAUGGUUUCUGGGUUACUUUUAAUAAAAGCUCAAAUUUCCUCACAUCUGUGUUACUAAAUGUCUAGCUCUGUCAAAGUAAAUACAGAAAUCAAUAGUUUCCUAUUUUAAAAAAUUAAAAAGAGAAGGAAGUGGAGAAGUGAGAAAAAAACUUUGCACUGGGUUGCCUGUUAGCUUAGAUGUGCAAUGAGACAAUCACCUGGUAAUUGUACCCUUUGGGUACUUCUGUACUGGUAAGAUAAUAAAGUGAAAUAAAGGUGACUUUCUUUCAAUUUACUUAUACAAUUUGCAAAUCUGUAGCUCUCUGCCAUGGUAGAUUAAGAAAAUUAGCAUGUAAGAAAAAUCACCUGCUUAUGUAAAUUGGAGGAUGGUUUUUAUCUAUGCAGACAGAAAAAAAAAAUAGCUGCAAUCUGGGUCAAAUGACUAAUUUUAUCAAUUUGUUCAAAGGUCUCCCUUCACCUUUUCUCUGUAGCUCAGGGCAAGAAUUUUAGGUCAAGGAAUGGAUAAACAAAAAAGUAUCUGUGUUGUCCAUUCUCCUGUAAGAAGUUUGCUGCCUGACACUACUGAGCUCUAUAUUACUUAAACUGAAAACAAGACUGAGAACUUUAUCUAGAUAACAAAACCACAAUACUGAGAGAGGAAAGAAAAGAAAUCAAUGGACGAUAUCUGAUCUAACUGGCAAAGAAAGCAAACAUGACAAGGAUCAGGUACCAAUUUUACCUUCUGCUACUUUAAGCAAACAGGGCUUCAGAAAAGGAAAUUACUCCAAAUAAUUCAGGGCAGGCAGGACAACUUCUCUACAAAGAACACUACUCCACUCUGCUCUAUAAACACACCGGGUCAAGUUCCUCUGAGUCUGACACAAGUUAGAUGAAUGUGUUCUUCCUCAUUUAAUGACUAUUUUCCCAGCAUUCAUUGCUGGGAUUCAUCCGACCCACUUAUAACUGACUCCAUCUCCAGUCCAGGAGUGGACCUGACUGCUUCAAAGUGACCUUAUCCACACUGACAGUGACGGGUUCAGAGCUGAGAAUACAAUUCAAUAAACGCUAAAGACAUUCUAGAACUGGGCUGGUCAAUCAGGCAGUCAACAGUCACUGGGCUACUGAACACUUGAAAUCUGCAGGAUACUCCAACCUCUUCAGGACUGAGCUCAAGCUUGCAUCUCCACCCUCAUCUCCUGUCACCUGCACUGCAAUUGAUAUUCAGCAGUUCCAGCCCUCUGAUAAAAACAUUCAAUGCAGCUAAGCAGAAAAACUUGGUUAAAGAACAAAGAAGGACCUGACCAGGAGAUCAAGUAACCAAGCAGCAAAGAUGCCACAGCACCGUGCUGGGGAGAAAAAAAGGAAUCCCACACACCUUGGAGAACAGAGCACUGCAGCAGCAACCUCCUUGGAGAGCUCGCUGGGAAAACACUGGACUUUACCAGGUUUCCUGCCACAAGUGGAUACUAAAACUCCAUCUUUAAUUCGGGGGAGGUUCCAACUUUGAAUGUGGGAAUGAAGGCCAAAC
Odocoileus virginianus texanus is the source of this 5201-nucleotide long non-coding RNA. RefSeq lists it as uncharacterized. The record is from RefSeq and is a predicted model, not a curated record. NCBI's taxonomy places the organism in Eukaryota, Metazoa, Chordata, Mammalia, Artiodactyla, Cervidae.